RNAcentral lists this ribosomal RNA (403 nucleotides) under uncultured bacterium. RNAcentral's name for it is "partial 16S ribosomal RNA". It matches the Rfam family "Bacterial small subunit ribosomal RNA", at positions 30 to 526 of the family's 1533-position model. The record is from RNAcentral.
AUUGAACGCUGGCGGCAGGCCUAACACAUGCAAGUCGAGCGAGCGGCGGACGGGGGAGUAAUGUAUGGGGACUGCCCGCUAGAGGGGGAUAACUACUGGAAACGGUAGCUAAUACCGCAUACUAUCGGAUAACCCAUAUGGGAUUAGCUAGUAGGUUCGGUCAUGGCUCACCUAGGCGACGAUCCCUAGCUGGUCUGAGCGGCUGAUCAGCCACACUGGGAAGGAGACACGGCCCAGACUCCUACGGAGGCAGCAGUGGGGAAUAUUGCACAAGGGGCGAAAGCCUGAUGCAGCCAUGCCGCGUGGAUGAAGAAGGCCCUAGGGUUGUAAAGUACUUUCAGUCGGGAGGCGUUACCGACAGAAGAAGCACCGGCUAACUCCGUGCCAGCAGCCGCGGUAAUUC